CUUUAUACAACAUGCUUCUAAUUGAUCAGACAAUUCCCUAAUCAUUUGGCUAAACAUUUAAAACAUUUAAGGUGAUUUUUAUAAAAAAUAAGAGACUUUUCACGACUAUUUACUGAUUGAAGCGAUGAUUGGAUUUUGAUUGGUCUACCAACAUGGACUAAGAAUCUUGACUCAAAUUAAAAAACCACAAUCUCAUAAAAAACCUCAUAAUCCUUUAGUUGUU
This 223-nucleotide long non-coding RNA is filed under the name Lathyrus oleraceus (garden pea). RNAcentral's name for it is "Pisum sativum (pea) long non-coding RNA (PSAT_LNC008199)". Lineage: Eukaryota; Viridiplantae; Streptophyta; Magnoliopsida; Fabales; Fabaceae. The record is from RNAcentral.